GAUUUUUUAGUGUCCCUUAUAUGUGGUUAAAACAUCCGCCUCGGAUGCUGGAGGUCGCGGGUUCGAAUCCCGGAGUCAUACCAAAAAUCA
Non-coding RNA from Potamilus streckersoni, 90 nucleotides. NCBI's taxonomy places the organism in Eukaryota, Metazoa, Mollusca, Bivalvia, Unionida, Unionidae. The record is from the annotation of a GenBank genome assembly.